This is a long non-coding RNA of Manduca sexta (tobacco hornworm), 490 nucleotides long. RefSeq lists it as uncharacterized. NCBI's taxonomy places the organism in Eukaryota, Metazoa, Arthropoda, Insecta, Lepidoptera, Sphingidae. The transcript is spliced from 2 exons. The record is from RefSeq and is a predicted model, not a curated record.
GUCAUAAAGUAUAUUUUCAAUCUUUGCAUUUUUAGCUUGACAUGACGGAAAGACAGUCGUGUCUUUAGUUAAAUAAAAUCAAGUUUCUAAAUUUAUAGUGUAAUCUAAAAUAAUUAAAUGUUUAUGAAUAAAAUUGGUCAAUCUACAACACGGCAUUGCAAAAAUAAUAACAUAAUAUAACACAGCUGUUUUCCAUUAUAGUGAUAGAAAUCAUCUUCAAAUAUCUGGUGUACAAAGUAUUGGUGAAAUUGCGGUAAAAGUGUUAUUUGUUAAUAAAAUGAAUAACGAAGAGAACAAAGAUAUGGCACACCGACAGCAUGUUAAAUAUUUUAUGAGAUUUUUGAAUAUUUUGCCUCCAUCCUUGUCUUCGCAUGAUACUACCAGGGUAACCAUAGCAUAUUUCUCUGUGGCUGGGCUGGAUGUGCUUGGAUCUAUAUCUUCCAUGUCAUUAGAACUCCGUUCAAGAAUCAUUGAUUGGCUGUACAGGUUA